GUUUGAUCCUGGCUCAGGAUGAACGCUGGCGGCGUGCUUAACACAUGCAAGUCGAACGAAGCACUUUAUUUGAUUUCCUUCGGGACUGAUUAUUUUGUGACUGAGUGGCGGACGGGUGAGUAACGCGUGGGUAACCUGCCUUGUACAGGGGGAUAACAGUUGGAAACGGCUGCUAAUACCGCAUAAGCGCACGGCAUCGCAUGAUGCAGUGUGAAAAACUCCGGUGGUAUGAGAUGGCCUCGCGUCCGAUUAGCUAGUUGGUGAGGUAAUGGCCCACCAAGGCGACGAUCGGUAGCCGGACUGAGAGGUUGAACGGCCACAUUGGGACUGAGACACGGCCCAGACUCCUACGGGAGGCAGCAGUGGGGAAUAUUGCACAAUGGGGGAAACCCUGAUGCAGCGACGCCGCGUGGAGGAAGAAGGUCUUCGGAUUGUAAACUCCUGUUGUUGAGGAAGAUAAUGACGGUACUCAACAAGGAAGUGACGGCUAACUACGUGCCAGCAGCCGCGGUAAAACGUAGGUCACAAGCGUUGUCCGGAAUUACUGGGUGUAAAGGGAGCGCAGGCGGGCGAUCAAGUUGGAAGUGAAAUCCAUGGGCUCAACCCAUGAACUGCUUCAAAACUGAUUGUCUUG
This 634-nucleotide ribosomal RNA is filed under the name uncultured bacterium. RNAcentral describes it as "bacterial SSU rRNA". It matches the Rfam family "Bacterial small subunit ribosomal RNA", at positions 11 to 644 of the family's 1533-position model. The record is from RNAcentral.